Molecule: ribosomal RNA, 253 nt
Filed under: uncultured bacterium
Lineage: Bacteria
Description: partial 16S ribosomal RNA
Rfam family: Bacterial small subunit ribosomal RNA
Source: RNAcentral
UACGUAGGGUGCGAGCGUUGUCUGGAAUUACUGGGCGUAAAGAGCUCGUAGGCGGUUUGUCGCGUCGUCCGUGAAAACUUGGGGCUCAACCCCAAGCUUGCGGGCGAUACGGGCAGACUUGAGUACUGCAGGGGAGACUGGAAUUCCUGGUGUAGCGGUGAAAUGCGCAGAUAUCAGGAGGAACACCGGUGGCGAAGGCGGGUCUCUGGGCAGUAACUGACGCUGAGGAGCGAAAGCGUGGGUAGCAAACAGG